This 77-nucleotide transfer RNA is filed under the name Clostridia bacterium. Its description in RNAcentral is "tRNA-Arg". It matches the Rfam family "tRNA". Rfam says of the family: Transfer RNA (tRNA) molecules are approximately 80 nucleotides in length. The record is from RNAcentral. Lineage: Bacteria; Bacillati; Bacillota; Clostridia.
CUGCCCGUGGCACAGCCGGAUAGUGCGCAAGACUCCGACUCUUGAGGUCAUAGGUUCAACUCCUAUCGGGCAGGCCA